This 74-nucleotide transfer RNA is filed under the name Planctomycetota bacterium. Its description in RNAcentral is "tRNA-Val". It matches the Rfam family "tRNA". From Rfam's summary of the family: Transfer RNA (tRNA) molecules are approximately 80 nucleotides in length. Their secondary structure includes four short double-helical elements and three loops (D, anti-codon, and T loops). The record is from RNAcentral. Lineage: Bacteria; Pseudomonadati; Planctomycetota.
GGGCGGUUAGCUCAGUUGGUUAGAGCGCCGUGCUCACACCGCGGAGGUCGCUGGUCCGAGUCCAGUACCGCCCA